This 854-nucleotide long non-coding RNA is filed under the name Heterocephalus glaber (naked mole-rat). RNAcentral's name for it is "lncRNA (ENSHGLG00100042444.1)". Lineage: Eukaryota; Metazoa; Chordata; Mammalia; Rodentia; Bathyergidae. The record is from RNAcentral.
UGGCCUAGGCGUGAAAUAUCCACCUGCAGAUUGUUACCAAUAGCCAUAAAAAGGGAGCUGGAGGGGAAGAUCUCGGCCUGUUGAUUUGCUAGGAGAAGCUUGCUGCAGACAGUUUUCCUGAUGCAAACUAGGCUGUUCUCGUUGAGGAGCUCAGGACCUUGAUGUCCUGGGAAUGGCUGCUAUUUUCAUCAGAGGAGCUCCAACCUUUACUAUAAGCAUCACUUCCUGACUCCAAUAUGGAUCCCUCAGCUUGGUGGCAGAAAUCCUUCAUCUCACCAGCAUAGAUUUCUUUGGCUUUCACCACUGGCCUUUGGGCCUUCCAGAUGUCCUCCUCCAGCCAAGACUGGACCAGGAAUCAAUCUACCAACCAGACUGAUUCUCCACAAAGCCUGAUUCAUUUGAAAUGUGUUACUCUCCAGCAUAAGGCUAGUUGCCCCGCUCAAGAGGCUGGUGAUAUGUGGGUGUAUCUUUACACUUUUUUCCCUUUAGGACUCAAUACUGAUAGUACCAAUUAUCUCAAGUAAAUCAGUUGUUCCCUGUUAGCAAAAGGAGCACACACUGAUGAUUCCUGGGAGGGUGACUCACUAAUUGCAACGUGAUUGAAACAUGUGGUCACCUGCUCUCACAAGGCGCACGGCACACUCUCCUGGGAGACACGCCAUGCAGGUCGCCUCGGGCCCGAUGCACAUGGUCACUGCCACGGGUUUCCCGGACACUUUCAAGGCCUCCACUGCCCACACAGCUUCCUCGACAUGUUCAAAAUACUGCAAUCAGUUAGGCGAGAGUGAUUUUAAUCGUGCUUCCCACAAAACCCCUGAGAACACUUAUUCUGUUGUCCAUUUUUAAUACUGCGG